RNAcentral lists this ribosomal RNA (439 nucleotides) under uncultured bacterium. RNAcentral's name for it is "partial 16S ribosomal RNA". It matches the Rfam family "Bacterial small subunit ribosomal RNA", at positions 339 to 795 of the family's 1533-position model. The record is from RNAcentral.
CUACGGGUGGCUGCAGUGAGGAAUAUUGCACAAUGGGGGGAACCCUGAUGCAGCAACGCCGCGUGGAGGAUGACGCAUUUCGGUGUGUAAACUCCUUUUAUAUGUCAAGAAAAUGACGGUAGCAUAUGAAUAAGCACCGGCUAACUCCGUGCCAGCAGCCGCGGUAAUACGGAGGGUGCAAGCGUUACUCGGAAUCACUGGGCGUAAAGGACGCGUAGGCGGGUUGGAAAGUCAGGUGUGAAAUCCUACAGCUUAACUGUAGAACUGCACUUGAAACUUCUAAUCUAGAGGAUGGGAGGGGGAGAUGGAAUUAGUGGUGUAGGGGUAAAAUCCGUAGAUAUCACUAGGAAUACCUAAAGCGAAGGCGAUCUCCUGGAACAUUACUGACGCUAAGGCGUAAAAGCGUGGGGAGCAAACAGGAUUAGAUACCCGCGUGGUC